This 27-nucleotide non-coding RNA is filed under the name Mus musculus (house mouse). Lineage: Eukaryota; Metazoa; Chordata; Mammalia; Rodentia; Muridae. The record is from RNAcentral.
AUGGAGGACUGAGAAGGUGGAGCAGUU